RNAcentral lists this ribosomal RNA (253 nucleotides) under uncultured bacterium. RNAcentral's name for it is "partial 16S ribosomal RNA". It matches the Rfam family "Bacterial small subunit ribosomal RNA", at positions 524 to 776 of the family's 1533-position model. The record is from RNAcentral.
UACGUAGGGGGCAAGCGUUGUCCGGAAUUAUUGGGCGUAAAGCGCGCGCAGGCGGUCUCUUAAGUCUGAUGUGAAAGCCCACGGCUCAACCGUGGAGGGUCAUUGGAAACUGGGGGACUUGAGUACAGAAGAGGAAAGUGGAAUUCCACGUGUAGCGGUGAAAUGCGUAGAUAUGUGGAGGAACACCAGUGGCGAAGGCGACUUUCUGGUCUGUAACUGAAGCUGAGGCGCGAAAGCGUGGGGAGCAAACAGG